This 414-nucleotide ribosomal RNA is filed under the name uncultured bacterium. RNAcentral's name for it is "partial 16S ribosomal RNA". It matches the Rfam family "Bacterial small subunit ribosomal RNA", at positions 355 to 786 of the family's 1533-position model. The record is from RNAcentral.
UGGGGAAUAUUGCACAAUGGGCGAAAGCCUGAUGCAGCAACGCCGCGUGAGUGAUGAAGGUCUUCGGAUUGUAAAGCUCUGUCUUUUGGGACGAUAAUGACGGUACCAAAGGAGGAAGCCACGGCUAACUACGUGCCAGCAGCCGCGGUAAUACGUAGGUGGCGAGCGUUGUCCGGAUUUACUGGGCGUAAAGGGUGCGUAGGCGGAUGUUUAAGUGAGAUGUGAAAUACCCGGGCUUAACUUGGGUGCUGCAUUUCAAACUGGAUAUCUAGAGUGCAGGAGAGGAGAAUGGAAUUCCUAGUGUAGCGGUGAAAUGCGUAGAGAUUAGGAAGAACACCAGUGGCGAAGGCGAUUCUCUGGACUGUAACUGACGCUGAGGCACGAAAGCGUGGGUAGCAAACAGGAUUAGAUACC